AAUAUUGGGCAAUGGGGGAAACCCUGACCCAGCGACGUCGCGUGAGGGAAGAAGGUCUUCGGAUUGUAAACCUUUGUCAACAGGGAAGAAGCAAGUGACGGUACCUGAAGAGGAAGCCACGGCUAACUACGUGCCAGCAGCCGCGGUAAUACGUAGGUGGCGAGCGUUAUCCGGAAUUACUGGGUGUAAAGGGUGUGUAGGCGGGGAUGCAAGUCAGAUGUGAAAUCCAUGGGCUCAACCUAUGGUGUGCAUUUGAAACUGUAUUUCUUGAGUGUGGGAGAGGUAAGCGGAAUUCCUAGUGUAGCGGUGAAAUGCGUAGAUAUUAGGAGGAACACCAGUGGCGAAGGCGGCUUACUGGUCCGGUUCUGACGCUGAGGCGCGAAAGCGUGGGGAGCAAACAGG
This 402-nucleotide ribosomal RNA is filed under the name uncultured bacterium. Its description in RNAcentral is "partial 16S ribosomal RNA". It matches the Rfam family "Bacterial small subunit ribosomal RNA", at positions 360 to 776 of the family's 1533-position model. The record is from RNAcentral.